RNAcentral lists this ribosomal RNA (497 nucleotides) under uncultured bacterium. RNAcentral describes it as "partial 16S ribosomal RNA". It matches the Rfam family "Bacterial small subunit ribosomal RNA", at positions 28 to 507 of the family's 1533-position model. The record is from RNAcentral.
GAUGAACGCUGGCGGCGUGCCUAAUACAUGCAAGUCGAGCGAACGGACGAGAAGCUUGCUUCUCUGAUGUUAGCGGCGGACGGGUGAGUAACACGUGGAUAACCUACCUAUAAGACUGGGAUAACUUCGGGAAACCGUAGCUAAUACCGGAUAAUAUUUUGAACCGCAUGGUUCAAAAGUGAAAGACGGUCUUGCUGUCACUUAUAGAUGGAUCCGCGCUGCAUUAGCUAGUUGGUAAGGUAACGGCUUACCAAGGCAACGAUGCAUAGCCGACCUGAGAGGGUGUUCGCCCACACUGGACCUGAGACACGGUCCAGACUCCUACGGGAGGCAGCAUUAGGGAAUCUUCCGCAAUGGGCGAAAUCCUACCGGGGCAACGCCGGGUGGUGGAUGAAGGUCUUCGGAUCGUAAAACUCUGUUAUUAGGGAAGAACAUGUGUGUAAGUAACAGUGCACAUCUUGACGGUACCUAAUCAGAAAGCCACGGCUAACUACGUG